RNA transcript from Felis catus (domestic cat), 1029 nucleotides. It is a transcript of the gene named dynein light chain roadblock-type 1, with no coding region annotated. The transcript is spliced from 7 exons. NCBI's taxonomy places the organism in Eukaryota, Metazoa, Chordata, Mammalia, Carnivora, Felidae. The record is from RefSeq and is a predicted model, not a curated record.
GACCGGAAGCGGGAGCUCGGGCCUCGGCAAGGGUCUGAGAGAGGGGGGAGGCCAGCCGAGAGGCCCUUACAAUUUAGAGUCCUGGGCCUUGUAGCGCGAUAACAAUAACGAUAAGGUUUCCUGGAAGCUUAAUUUGUGUUCGACGCUGCUAAGCGCUUUACGUAUUUUGGCUUUCCUCCUCACCACAGUUCUGUGAGCAACAUGCACCUGGGAACUAAAGAACAUACAGACACCCAUGUUAGUAGUACCUACUACCCAGGAUGCUGAGGAUACCAGUUGGGCUCUCUCUAGGACAGGAAGUUGGAGAUGCAGAGGUGGAAGAGACACUGAAGCGACUUCAGAGCCAGAAGGGAGUACAGGGAAUCAUCGUGGUGAACACAGAAGGCAUUCCCAUCAAGAGCACCAUGGACAAUCCCACCACCACACAGUAUGCCAACCUCAUGCACAACUUCAUCUUGAAGGCCCGGAGCACCGUGCGUGAAAUCGACCCCCAGAAUGACCUCACCUUUCUUCGAAUUCGCUCCAAGAAAAAUGAAAUUAUGGUUGCACCAGGUGCCAUGGAAAGGACUGAAGAGUUGAAGGUUCACAGAAAACAGAGGUGAUAAUCCUACCUCCCUGUCAGUACUGUGAAGAUUAGAAAAGAGAAUACAUUGCAAGGCCCUGCUGCCAGAUAAAGACUAUUUCCUGAUUGUGAUUCAGAAUCCAACUGAAUAAGCCACUCUCUUGGCUCCGUGCAUCAUUCCUUAAUUUAAUAGCCCCCAAGAAUAAUAAUGUUAAGCAUGUCAACCAACUGGCAGGUGGAAAUCACCUUUGAGCCUACUUAGACCAGUCCAGUGACCAAAGUCAUCAAAGUCGUCCCUCUGCUGGCCAGUCACCCUUGAGUUCUUGGGUGGGCCUUCUUUCCUCAUCUCCAGAUUUUGGAGCAAGAGCUUUGAGUAGUCCACACUCUGCUUCCUUCUGACCUUCAGCUCACUUUGUCACCCUUGGAAAAGGCUGUUUUUCUUUAACUAAAAAUAACUGAAAUGCUUA